This 972-nucleotide long non-coding RNA is filed under the name Gallus gallus (chicken). Its description in RNAcentral is "lncRNA (ENSGALG00010000691.1)". Lineage: Eukaryota; Metazoa; Chordata; Aves; Galliformes; Phasianidae. The record is from RNAcentral.
GUUUGGGGUUCACCAUAUUGGGGGCUCAAUGUGUGGGGCAGUGGGAUGUGGGGUGGGACCCCAUUGGGAUCCCAUGGGAGGGGAAUGGGGGAUCAAUGUGUGGGGCAAUGGAGUGUGGGGUGGGACCCCAAUGGGAUCCCAUUGGGGGAAUGGGGGCCCAAUGUGUGGGGCAAUGGGGUGUGGGGUGGGACCCCAUUGGGGGACCCUAUAAAGGGUGGGGUUCUCCAUAUUGGGGUCCCAUGGGGAGGGGAAUGGGGGCUCAAUGUGUGGGGCAGUGGGGUGUGGGGUGGGACCCCAUUGGGGGACCCCAUAAGGUUUGGAGUUCUCCAUCAGUGGGGUCCCAGCAGAGGAAUGGGGACCCCAAACUGUGGGGCAAUGGGAUGUGGGGUGGGACCCCAUUGGGAUCCCAUUGGUGGGGGAAUGGGGGCUCAAUGUGUGGGGCAAUGGGGUGUGGGGUGGGACCCCAUUGGGGGACCCCAUAAACUUUGGGGUUCACCAUAUUGGGGGCUCAAUGUGUGGGGUAAUGGGAUGUGGGGUGGGGUGGGACCCCAUUGGGAUCCCAUGGGAGGGGAAUGGGGGCUCAAUGUGUGGGGCAAUGGAGUGUGGGGUGGGACCCCAUUGGGGGACCCCAUAAGGUUUGGGGUUCUCCAUAUGGAGGUCCCAUUGGGAGGGGAAUGGGGUCCCAAUGUGUGGGGUAAUGGGAUAUGGGGUGGGGUGGGACCCCAUUGGGAUCCCAUAGGGGGAGUGGGGGCGAAAUGUGUGGGGCAAUGGGGUGUGGGGUGGGACCCCAUUGGGGGACCCCAUAAGGUUUGGGGUUCUCCAUAUGGAGGUCCCAUUGGGAGGGGAAUGGGGACCCCAAUGUGUGGGGAAAUGGGGUGUGGGGUGGGACCCCACUGGGGGACCCCAUAAACUUUGGGUCCUCUAUUAGUGGGAUUUUGGGGUCCCCCAUUAUAGGGCUAUGGGGUGACCCCA